GUCCACGCUGUAAACGAUGGAUGCUAGAUGUUGUGGGUAUUGACCCCUGCAGCGUCGCAGCUAACGCAUUAAGCAUCCCGCCUGGGGAGUACGGCCGCAAGGCUAAAACUCAAAGGAAUUGACGGGGGCCCGCACAAGCGGUGGAGCAUGUGGUUUAAUUCGACGCAACGCGAAGAACCUUACCUGGGUUAAAAUCCGCUGGAAUCCCGCAGAAAACGUGGGAGUGCUCUUCGGAGAGCCAGCGAGACGGUGCUGCAUGGCUGUCGU
Molecule: ribosomal RNA, 267 nt
Filed under: uncultured bacterium
Lineage: Bacteria
Description: partial 16S ribosomal RNA
Rfam family: Bacterial small subunit ribosomal RNA
Source: RNAcentral